CGAAGCAUAGUUCACCGGGAAGAACACCAGACUUACCCCCUGGAAAAGCAGAGUUCGAGACCUGCUGCUUCGA
This 73-nucleotide transfer RNA is filed under the name Lachnospiraceae bacterium Marseille-Q4251. RNAcentral describes it as "tRNA-Val". It matches the Rfam family "tRNA". Rfam says of the family: Transfer RNA (tRNA) molecules are approximately 80 nucleotides in length. Their secondary structure includes four short double-helical elements and three loops (D, anti-codon, and T loops). The record is from RNAcentral. Lineage: Bacteria; Bacillati; Bacillota; Clostridia; Lachnospirales; Lachnospiraceae.